RNAcentral lists this long non-coding RNA (374 nucleotides) under Elaeis guineensis (African oil palm). RNAcentral's name for it is "long non-coding RNA (EGUI_LNC044248)". The record is from RNAcentral. Lineage: Eukaryota; Viridiplantae; Streptophyta; Magnoliopsida; Arecales; Arecaceae.
CGGGCGGCCCAGAAUAUAAUCAGGUCUACUCUUCGGUAAGAUUUACUACCUCUGGAAGAGCUGAAAGGAAUUCCCUCACUACUUCUACAGCUUUUCUAGUAUAUUUUAUAUUCUAUUUUCAAGUGCUUACUAUUCUUCUAUGCAUCAAAUUAUCAUUCAAUUUUAACAGCUACCCAUGCAUCGAGCAGGUAUCAAUCUUGUUCUCUUGUACCCAUAAGCUAGAAGAGAGCUAUAUGCUUGGAUGGUGCUCGACAUUUCAGGUUACUCCUCUAAAGCAAUGUAGAAUCUCUAUCAUUUAAUUAUCUUGUUGGGUGGAUGUCUGGCCAAGACACCAUCUCUCAAGAUCUUUUCAGUAUCAAGCGAUGCAGCAGGAA